This 207-nucleotide ribosomal RNA is filed under the name uncultured bacterium. RNAcentral's name for it is "partial 16S ribosomal RNA". It matches the Rfam family "Bacterial small subunit ribosomal RNA", at positions 568 to 774 of the family's 1533-position model. The record is from RNAcentral.
CACGUAGGCGGCACCGCAAGUGUGGGGUGAAAUCCCACGGCUUACCCGUGGAACUGCCUGGCAGACUGCGGUGCUAGAGGUUGGUAGGGGAGAGCGGAACUCUUGGUGGAGCGGUGAAAUGCGUAGAUAUCAAGAGGAACACCGGUGGCGAAGGCGGCUCUCUGGUCCAAAUCUGACGCUGAGGUGCGAAAGCUAGGGGAGCAAACG